CAACAACAACAACAACAACAACAACGACUCUCGUCGCAUCAUCAGCUGGAACUACCGAAAGAUAAUGUAAAAUCAGCUUGAACAGAAAAAAAAAA
Molecule: long non-coding RNA, 95 nt
Organism: Drosophila persimilis
Lineage: Eukaryota; Metazoa; Arthropoda; Insecta; Diptera; Drosophilidae
Exons: 2
Source: RefSeq, a predicted model, not a curated record